Molecule: ribosomal RNA, 400 nt
Filed under: uncultured bacterium
Lineage: Bacteria
Description: bacterial SSU rRNA
Rfam family: Bacterial small subunit ribosomal RNA
Source: RNAcentral
UCGAGAAUCUUCCGCAAUGGGCGAAAGCCUGACGGAGCGACGCCGCGUGGAGGACGAAGGCCUUCGGGUUGUAAACUCCUGUCACGAGUUAAGAAGGUCGGCCUACGAACAGUGGGACGAUUUGACGUAAGCUCGAGAGGAAGCACUGGCUAACUCUGUGCCAGCAGCCGCGGUAAUACAGAGAGUGCAAACGUUGUUCGGAAUUACUGGGCUUAAAGCGCACGUAGGCUGCGUCGUAAGUGUCAGGUGAAAUCCCACGGCUCACCCGUGGAACUGCCUGGCAUACUGCGAUGCUUGAGUGUGGUAGGGGAGAGCGGAACUCUUGGUGGAGCGGUGAAAUGCGUAGAUAUCAAGAGGAACACCGGUGGCGAAGGCGGCUCUCUGGUCCACAACUGACGCU